GCCUGCACAAGUCCCUCCUAGAUCACAGGACAGUCCCGGGGGGGGGCCCCCUCCCAGAUUCCUCCCCUGUCAGGGCCUCAAGGGAGCACCAGCCGCACACGGAGAAUGUAAGGGGCUGGGAGAGACACCCUGUAGGUUGAGAUCCGGAGGGACAGAGAGUCAGGCCUAAAUGACCACGGUGGAGCGGGAGGGAGGGGCUCAGGCAGGGGCAGCACCCCAAAGGAGAGGACCUAGGGGAGCACAGUGAGCCAGAGAAGGCUGCAGGCCAGCAGCCUGUGAACUUUGAGUUUCCGCAGAAGAACAAGUGAUUUGGAACCUACUGGAGAGCCCCGUACUCCCAGGAACUGCUGUCCUAUACUGUCAUUUGCUCAGUCUGUCUGACUUUGUGUAGGACACACUCCCAGGAGGCUCCAUUCAGGUCCCAGAGUGACAAGAUGAGCAGGCCUCAGGGUCCUUGGCCUGACCCCAACCUGAACCCCUUCCCCAGCACCCUGUUGUGCUCCCUGGAUGGUUUCUGGAAUGCUCCAAAGAGGAGUCAGGCUCACAGGGCAAGCCUGCUGCCGAGUAUCAGGAAGUAUCAGGAGCGGGUGGCACUGACCUUGAACUCUCGGGGGCAUCUUGGAAACACACACAUGACUCGGCAACAGCCCCCAAGGAGGGUGAUCUCUGCUUGCUCCUUGGGACAGACUAUCUGCAUCGCUGGUCAUUGCAACUGCAGAAGGUGCUGGGGGUUCAGCUUGUGGGACGCAGGCUCUGGGUGAUGCUUUGUAGCCAGUGUGACAGGAAACGAACCGAACUCAGGCGAUAUAUAAAUGUAACAGGCGACCUCGCAGGUCCCGUGUGUCGCACCUGCAGGAAUGCUAGUGGGGUUCCAGGGAUCAAAAGAGAGAAAGAGGGAAAAAAGAGAGAAAGGUGUCCGACCUGCCUACAUAGACCCUGGGCUUCGUAUCCUCUUCCUGUCGGAGGACCGCAGCCAGCUGGACCCCUGGACUCCCCGGAGCUGGAUGCCCAUAGUCACCUUGACUGGGCCUCUCCUCCACGUUCUUGCUGUUUCUGCCUCCGGUGCUCUGGGUCGUGGAGUGUGGCCCACCGUGUGACCUGGGAGCUGGCAGCAGGUCUCUCCCAUCCCCAGCGUGGUAGACUUUAAGGACUGGAUCUGAGGCAGGCAGGAGCGAGCCUGACUGGCCACCAGGGUCUGUUCCUCGUGCCUCAUAGGACUGGGAGUGGCUCUUUGAACCCUCCCACCCCGCCCAGCAGUGAGGACGGGUCCUCUCAGGUCCCCCCACAGGGGAGGACACAGCCUCUGGGGGAGAAGUCACAGCCAGAGCCGGGAGGUGACCGUCGUGCUCUCCAUGCUCGGCCCGUGCGCCCCAACUCAGAGCCUGGCAAGCUGAGGAACGUCCGAAAUGGGGCACCAAGAUGUCUUUGUAAGCGUGGAGGUUUACGCGAUCCCACGAGCAAUAGCCGAAUCUCAGACACAAUGAUGAGAAGAAAAUAGGAGGGAGCUCCCUUCAGGGGAAGAGGAAGUCAUACAGGCUCCUAAGGAAACAACUACCUUUCAGAGAGGAAGCCCACUUGUCCUGUGUUUUCAGACAACUCACCACACACUCUCAGUCACUCCCGUGUCAAAUGAUCAGCCCACCCUUCACAUGCUUUCUUAGAAGUUUCCUUACAUAAGGAUUGACGUGACGCCAAGUGAGCCCCCAGUGCCCGCGCCCCGACUUAAGAAAUAGACACAGGACUGGCCGACUGGGCCCCGGGCCCCCGUUUCCUGCCCGCUGGGAGGUUCGGUAAAAUGGGUGUCCCCUGACCUCCAGCUCGGGGUUCAGGAGGGGCGAGGGAUUAAGGGAGGGUCGGGGCAGGACCUGGGAGGGGGCCGGCCUCUGGUCUGCAGGUGGUGGCCGUCCUGCCCUGGAAUCCAGGCGGGACCCACCUGGAGGCCNNNNNNNNNNNNNNNNNNNCUACACAGCCCCCCAGGUCUCAAUAUGUCAGAGGAGGAAGGCGAGCUCCUCAAAUCCGAGAGACGCCAUCAAUAUUCACAAGGGCCCGUGAGAUUCUGCGUGUGCACGAGCCCUGACCCACUUGAUCCAGCCAGUCCCCUAACGGAGCACACUUCGGGUCUUUCCAAAUGUUUGCUAUUCUCAAGAAAGCCCUGGCGCUGAGUUUUACAAAUGCUCUGGCAUUCUGGACAGAUGGUCAUUGGAAAUCCCCAAAGCAUUGCAAGCUGAGGCUCUGGUUCGCCUCGACAGAUUUCCCUGUGACACCCUGCUUGGAGCCCUCUCCCACUGAGGCCGUGAGAGGCGCCUGGUGACACCCCCGCCCCGGCUCUCCUGCAUUUGGGGCGUCCUGGCAGGGGAAGAACAGGACCACCCAGCGGCUUGGGAGAAGGUCAGCCCCAAGCCAUAUCCCGGCCACUAUUCUGGAACACAAUCCCUGAGUUACUGAGCUCACGUCACUCUGGAUGAAGGCCCCUCCUUCCACAGUUGGGCUCAGCCGAGUCACCCAGGUCGAGGCUCCCUUGCUGGCCACCUAGAGCUGCUUGCUCAAGGAGAAGGGGUUCAGGUUGGACCCAUGGGGUUGAUGUCCUGGGCUGAGGAGAAGCCCAGAGGGCGUGGGGACGGAGGAUCAGUGUCCUGGGAAGGGGGCCUGGGGACAGUCAUCACGUAGAGGGCCUGAGGGAUGGAAGGGGCAGCCCCUGGGUCUCAAGGGGUGACCGUGUUCCCAACUGCAACAGAGAAAAGCAUGAGAUGUGACCACAUGGACCAGCCGAAUUCGGGGCAGGGCUGCCCAGAGGCCACCGGCGAAGGCAACAAAAGCUUCCCGGGCUGGUCCCACGUGGCUGGAGACACAGAGAUGAAAAAGCCCCUGCCUGGACCCCGAAAAGCCCUCUGGACCUUCCUUUUUUUCACCCACCACCGUCCCCCCGGCCUCCAGGAAGGUUCCUGGAUGCCCCCAGAAGACUUUAUCUUCCAGGGAUAGGUGACGGGUGGCAACAAGCCUUCCCUAUGUUACCAUGUGGUGCGACAGGCCGGUGAUGCCUCCGUGUUUCACGAUGACCUCCCGCACAGCCAGGCCCCAGGCGGGGACAGGCCCAGACAGCCCGACAUGCAGGGACAAGAGUGAAGCCGUCGGUGGGCCUUUCUCAAUCAUACACCUGUCCUCCCAGCGCGUGGACUGUGAAGGUCCUGGCAGCAAGCAGGUGGCUGGGGACACCAAAGGUCGAAGCCGAGUCCUGAGGCAUCCCUUCAGCUGGGGUCCACAGGCAGAGCAGGGGGUGGGUCCGUGGGACGAAGAUAUGGGGUCACCUGGGUCCUCCCCUGUCUCCUCUAGGCUGCCAUCUCCUCGAGGGCAAGACAGUACCUAGCACAUCCUUGCAUGCCAGGUUCCUGCCGGGGUGGGACCCCGAGUAGGUGCUCCUGGGUGCUGCUGGAUGGCCGAGGGACACAGGGAAGGACUGAACCAGCCUUGCCUUCCCUGUGGGUGGGAGUAUCACCAUGUGGAAAUGUGGCAUACCUUCUUGGAGAACAUUCUGGCAAAGCCAGAAGCACACAGGCACUGCCGGGGCCCUGGCAGGUUCCCAGAGCCCUGGCUCUGAAGGUGACUUGAGCACAGAGCUCCCUGCCUGAGCCCUUUGUAGCCAAGACCCCCUCCAGUCCUCCCAGCAGAUGGGCAGGAGCUGGGACCGGGCACAGGCGGAGGUUGCCAGGGGUCAGUGGUCCUAUAGGGGCGGCGGGGGUGUCCAGCUAGCUCCCAGAGGGAGGAUUCCAGCCUGUGCUGAGCGUGAGGAUCAGGAUCCUGGUUAGGUGACCCUGGGGACAACUUCAGAGUCCCUGGAGGGCGAGGAGGCAGACAGGGGCAUGUGUGGUGGGGCGGCUUCUCUGUCCUACAGGGAAGCUGACUGUCUCCUCUCCCACCACAGAGCUCCCAGGAUGUGGGAGGACGCAGGCACCCCAGGGAGGCCGGGAGCCCUGGUGCCACGUGUGCACAGGUUCUGGGAGAGCCCGGGGGUGAGGAUGCCCUUGGCCCCUCUGCUCCUCUCUUUCCCAUCCUACCUGUUACUGGGUCUACCUCCCUUUGGGGCCGACCCUCCCUUGUGUAUAUUUUCCCUCUCCCCAGGCCUUUCCUGCCUCUUUCUGGCCCCUGUUCUUCCUUUGGCUUAGUUUUGCUGUUCCCAGUCCCUUGUCCCUCCCUUGUCUCCCUCCCUCCCUUGUGUGCCUUUCUCAGGCCAGGCUGGAGGUAGAGUGGGGAAUAGGGAGUGAGGAGGAGCCUCUGGGAGACCAGAGUUGGCCUUUGUACCUUGCCACAUGAUCCCCAGGUCUAUUUAAACCACGUUUCCUUCAUGUCCCUUAUGUUCCCUAUCACUGCUAUCUGCAAUUUCAUAGCAGAUAAUGAAUUAUUUUAUAAAAUUAUAGAGAAAAGCCAGAGAUAGUGACGUAAUGGUGCCUGCUCCUCUGCAGAGACAGCAUGGCCUUUCUAGGCAUUUCUGGGCAACCUGCUGUAGCCCCCACACAGACUCACCUGAGCCAGCUGGCCGCCCAAGCUUAACUUGGCUGUGGGGUGGUCCUCAGCACAUGAUCAUCACUUGUCCUAUUAUGAAUGGGAUCAUGUCUGUAGCAUUCUGGCGCCCCAGCUACAGCAGUGGCCAUGCCCCUUCUCUCACAGAGAUAUUCUGGUAAGGAGUAUGGUGGCAAGGGAUGGGGGUCCACCUGAAUACCGCAACAUACAAAUCUUUCAUCUAAAUGAGGAGUAAAUGACAGAGAAGUAGAUAGUUGGAUAGAUAAGGAGAUACAUAGACGGUAGGAAACAGAUAAGGAAAGAGUACAUCAAGGCUAAAGCCAAUGGGGAACAUGUUCACAAUAUGCAAAUUUGCAUGAGGAGCAUAUGGAUACUCUUUAUAUACAACUUUCUGUAAGUUCGGCAUAAAAUAAAACGUUUAAACAAAUAAAAAAAUUAAAUUAA
This is a long non-coding RNA of Vulpes vulpes (red fox), 4959 nucleotides long. Lineage: Eukaryota; Metazoa; Chordata; Mammalia; Carnivora; Canidae. The record is from Ensembl.